RNAcentral lists this ribosomal RNA (325 nucleotides) under uncultured eukaryote. RNAcentral describes it as "bacterial SSU rRNA". It matches the Rfam family "Eukaryotic small subunit ribosomal RNA", at positions 623 to 956 of the family's 1831-position model. The record is from RNAcentral.
CUGACAACGAGCUACAGCUCGUAGUCGAAUUUCGGGAUUAUUCACAUGGUCUUGCUUUGCAAGUACUUUGUGGGUUUUCCUCUUUUCUUGGUAGAUUACACACUGUGUAAAAUGUCAAGACUUUUACUUUGAAUAAAUUAGGGUGUUUAAAGCAGGCUUUUGCUUGAAUACAUUAGCAUGGAAUAAUAAAAUAGGACUUUGGUUUUAUUUUGUUGGUUUUAAGAACCAAAGUAAUGAUUAAUAGGGACAGUUGGGGGCAUUAGUAUUUAGAAGUCAGAGGUGAAAUUCUUGGAUUUUCUAAAGACUAACUAGUGCGAAAGCAUUU